This 497-nucleotide ribosomal RNA is filed under the name uncultured bacterium. RNAcentral describes it as "partial 16S ribosomal RNA". It matches the Rfam family "Bacterial small subunit ribosomal RNA", at positions 28 to 507 of the family's 1533-position model. The record is from RNAcentral.
GAUGAACGCUGGCGGCGUGCCUAAUACAUGCAAGUCGAGCGAACGGACGAGAAGCUUGCUUCUCUGAUGUUAGCGGCGGACGGGUGAGUAACACGUGGAUAACCUACCUAUAAGACUGGGAUAACUUCGGGAAACCGGAGCUAAUACCGGAUAAUAUUUUGAACCGCAUGGUUCAAAAGUGAAAGACGGUCUUGCUGUCACUUAUAGAUGGAUCCGCGUUGGAUUAGUGAGUUGGUAAGGUAACGGCUUACCAAGGCGACGAUGCUUAGCCGACCUGAGAGGGUGAUCAGCCACACUGGAACUGAGACACGGUCCAGACUCCUACGGGAGGCAGCAGUGGGGAAUCUUCGACAAUGGGCGAAAGCCUGACGGAGCAACACCGCGUGGGUGAAGAAGGUCUUCGGGUCGUAAAGCUCUGUUGUUGGGAAAGAACAUAUGUAUGAGUAACUGUGCACGUCUUGACGGUACCUAAACAGAAAGCCACGGCUAACUACGUG